This 384-nucleotide transfer-messenger RNA is filed under the name Saprospiraceae. Its description in RNAcentral is "JADJLQ01 sp016709995 Standard tmRNA". It matches the Rfam family "transfer-messenger RNA". Rfam says of the family: Bacterial tmRNA, also known as 10Sa RNA or SsrA, is named for its dual tRNA and mRNA-like properties. Its role is to liberate the mRNA from a stalled ribosome. Lineage: Bacteria; Pseudomonadati; Bacteroidota; Saprospiria; Saprospirales. RNAcentral also lists the same sequence under 1 other name. The record is from RNAcentral.
GGGGCUGACUGGAAUCGACAGGAGGGUCUGCUGGUUAGUAAGCAUGUCGGAGCAUGAGAGGUUACUCCGUAAAAAAUAACUUUCAACCUUUAAGUGGCAACACUUAUGCUAUCGCUGCCUAAUUCAUAGAAUUAGACCGGCUUUAUGCCGUCGAUCUGACACCUGAUACAGGAUCUACCGCAUUCAAACCCGCUCUUAGGAGUGCUCAGGUUAGUUUUAUCUCGACGCCACCGGAGAUAGAGCGAAAUUAAUCGGAAGCUGCUUGAUGAACAUGGGAGUGUCUCUAUCCUACCUCAUCACUAAGACUCAAAUAGAAGAAUAAACAUGUAGAAAGCUAAUGAGUGCUUUGUCUGGACGGGAGUUCGAAUCUCCCCAGCUCCACUU